RNAcentral lists this long non-coding RNA (235 nucleotides) under Elaeis guineensis (African oil palm). RNAcentral describes it as "long non-coding RNA (EGUI_LNC027487)". The record is from RNAcentral. Lineage: Eukaryota; Viridiplantae; Streptophyta; Magnoliopsida; Arecales; Arecaceae.
CAUUAGCACCUGAGUUUUUAGAGUAUUCAGUGGGAUAUAAUUAUUGUAUCUCCUCGAUAGUGGAGCAUGCCGAUCCCUUCUCUGUGGGCUUCUUGGUCGGUGGUUCCGAGGAUAGGUCCUGUUCCUCAACUUUUGAGAUGGAGAUCUAGAGCGCUAUCGGAUUCUCUCCUCUUAACUCAGAGAGUGCUCCUUAUUUUGCUUUUCUCUUAUGAUGAAACUAGUGGGGGCUUCAUCU